UUCAUUUCAUUUGAAAUCGAGUCGUGGC
This 28-nucleotide small RNA is filed under the name Bombyx mori (domestic silkworm). RNAcentral describes it as "ovarian small RNA-37089". The record is from RNAcentral. Lineage: Eukaryota; Metazoa; Arthropoda; Insecta; Lepidoptera; Bombycidae.